RNAcentral lists this small nucleolar RNA (131 nucleotides) under Erinaceus europaeus (western European hedgehog). The record is from RNAcentral. Lineage: Eukaryota; Metazoa; Chordata; Mammalia; Eulipotyphla; Erinaceidae.
ACUGAGCCAUCUCCCAGCCCCAGCAGUUAUUUGAGAUUUCAGAACUGAUUCCUGUUGUUGGAAAUGCCUCACAGAGUAGUUUGGUAGUUUGCUUUACUCACAAAACUGUGAGAAAGAACUACAAGACAUCU